AAUGAACGCUGGCGGCAUGCCUAACACAUGCAAGUCGAACGAGACCUUCGGGUCUAGUGGCGCACGGGUGCGUAACGCGUGGGAACCUGCCCUUAGGUUCGGAAUAACUCCCCGAAAGGGGUGCUAAUACCGGAUAAUGUCUUCGGACCAAAGAUUUAUCGCCUUUGGAUGGGCCCGCGUUGGAUUAGCUAGUUGGUAGGGUAAAAGCCUACCAAGGCGACGAUCCAUAGCUGGUCUGAGAGGAUGAUCAGCCACACUGGGACUGAGACACGGCCCAGACUCCUACGGGAGGCAGCAGUGGGGAAUAUUGGACAAUGGGCGAAAGCCUGAUCCAGCAAUGCCGCGUGAGUGGUGAAGGCCUUAGGGUUGUAAAGCUCUUUUACCCGGGAUGAUAAUGACAGUACCGGGAGAAUAAGCUCCGGCUAACUCCGUG
RNAcentral lists this ribosomal RNA (433 nucleotides) under uncultured bacterium. RNAcentral describes it as "partial 16S ribosomal RNA". It matches the Rfam family "Bacterial small subunit ribosomal RNA", at positions 29 to 507 of the family's 1533-position model. The record is from RNAcentral.